Molecule: long non-coding RNA, 2385 nt
Filed under: Ananas comosus (pineapple)
Lineage: Eukaryota; Viridiplantae; Streptophyta; Magnoliopsida; Poales; Bromeliaceae
Description: long non-coding RNA (ACOM_LNC024610)
Source: RNAcentral
AACAAGAUUGUAUAUAUCAAAUAUUGCUAAUCAAGUGCUUGAGUAGACAUCAUAAACAAGUCAUGCUAAACAAAUUAUGCUUGCUUAACAUGCAUGUGUAGGGUGGCGCACUUCCGCUGAUUAGGCAAUCUCUACACAGAAAUGAAUGCAGUUAUGUGGACCAAUCAAGCAACGAUAAAAGCAUAUGCGGCCGCAUAUAGGGUAUAUCUAACACUUUUACAACAGUACUAUGAGUCUUCAAAAAACUGAAUAUCAUUAUGGUUUCUAGCUGUAUUAAAGUUUAAUCUUAUCUACAAUAAUAUAAUCUAUCAUCGAAAACGGCUUAGAAGAACAGGAGCCGUCGCUGCUCCUAAUAGACACAAGACUACUCUCUCUCUCUCUCUUCUCUCUCUCUCUCUCUCUCUCUCUCUCUCUGCUUAUAUAUAUAUAUAUAUAUAUUAUAAUAUAUUAUAUGAUAGAUGACUCUUAAAUGAAGAAAAAAGAUAAAUCCACAGAGACCAAACAAUUAAAAUAACCAAAAUUCAAUAGUCACAAAUAAUUGACAACCAGACAAAAUCAUCAAUAAAAUAAUUUUAAAAUUUAUACCAAAGAUAAACUAUCACACAUAUUAAAGUUUCAAGUAACUUAUUUAAUGAAAGUAUAUAUCAAUUAUUUCAAUAUAAAGAGUACCUUAUUUAAUGAAAAUAUGUUCCAAAAAAAUAAAUAAUCAAAAAUAGUCAACAAGAUUGUAUAUAUCAAAUUUGCUAAUCAAGUGCUUGAGUAGACAUCAUAAACAAAGUCAUGCAAACAAACUUAUGCUUGCUUAACAUGCAUGUGUAGGUGGCGCACUUCCGUCCGAUUAGCAAUCUCUACACCAGAAAAUGAAUGCAGUUAUGUGGACCAAUCAAGCAACGAUAAAAGAUAUGCGGCGCAUAUAAUGAGGAUAUCUAACACUUUUUACAACAGUACCUAUGAGUCUUCAAAAACUGAAUAUCAUUAUGGUCUUCUAGCUGUUUAAAGUUCGAAUCUUAUCUACAAUAAUAUAAUUAUCAUCGAAACGGCUUAGAAGCACGGAGGCCUCCGUGCUCUAAUAGUACACAGACCUACUCUCCUUCUCUCUCUCCUCUCUCUCUUAUAUUACUAAUAUAUAUAUGAAGAUGAUAUUUAUAUAUAUAUAUAUAUAUGAAGAUGACUCUUAAAUGAAGAAUAAAAAGAUAAAUCCACAGAGACCAAACAAUUAAACAUAAUACCAAAAUUCAAUAGUCACAAUAAUUGACAACCAGAACAAAAUCAUCAAUAAAAUAUAUUUUAAAAUUUAUACCAAGAAUAAACUAUCACACAUAUUAAAGUUUCAAGUAAUUAUUUAAUGAAGUAUAUAUUCAAAUUAUUUCAAUAUAAAGAGUACCUAUUUAAUGAAAUAUGUCCAAAAAAUAAAAUAAUCAAAAAUAGUCAACAAGAUGUAUAUAUCAAAUUUCUAAUCAAGUGCUUGAGUAGACAUCAUAAACAAGUCAUGCCUAAACAAACUUAUGCUUGCUUAAACAUGCAUGUUGUAGGUGCGCACUUCGUCCGAUUAGCAAUCUCUACACCAGAAAUGAAUGCAGUUAUGUGGACCAAUCAAGCAACGAUAAAAGCAUAUGCGGCCGCAUAUAAGGGUAUAUCUAACACUUUUUACAACAGUACCUAUGAGUCUCAAAAACUGAAUAUCAUUAUGGUCUUCUAGCUGUAUUAAUAUCGAAUCUUAUCUACAAUAAUAUAAUCUAUCAUCGAAAACGGUUAGAAGCACGGAGGCCUCCGUGCUCCUAAUAGUACACAAGACCUACUCUCGUCUCUCCUCUCUCUCUCAUCUCUCUCUCAUCUUCUCUCUCUAUAUUAUAUAUAUAUAUGAAGAUGACUCUUAAAUGAAGAAUAAAAAGAUAAAUCCACAGAGACCAAACAAUUAAACAUAACCAAAAUUCAAUAGUCACAAAUAAUUGACAACCAGACAAAAUCAUCAAUAAAAUAUAUUUUAAAAUUUAUACCCAAAGAUAAACUAUCACACAUAUUAAAGUUUCAAGUAACUUAUUUAAUGAAAGUAUAUAUCAAAUUAUUUCAAAUAUAAAGAGUACCUUAUUUAAUGAAAAUAUGUCCAAAAAAAAUAAAUAAUCAAAAUAGUCAACAAGAUUGUAUAUAUCAAAUUUGCUAAUCAAGUGCUUGAGUAGACAUCAUAAACAAGUCAUGCUAAACAAACUUAUGCUUGCUUAACAUGCAUGUGUAGGUGGCGCACUUCCGUCUGAUUAGGCAAUCUCUACACCAGAAAUGAAUGCAGUUAUGUGGACCAAUCAAGCAACGAUAAAAGCAUAUGCGGCCGCAUAUAAGGGUAUAUCUAACACUUUUUACAACAGUACCUAUGAGUCUUCAAAAACUGAA